Molecule: non-coding RNA, 88 nt
Organism: Panus rudis PR-1116 ss-1
Lineage: Eukaryota; Fungi; Basidiomycota; Agaricomycetes; Polyporales; Panaceae
Source: the annotation of a GenBank genome assembly
GCCGUCGUAGCAUAAUGGUAGUGCGUUGCCCUCCUAAGCUGCUUAGGAGCGCAGGCAAAGGCUGUGGGUUCGAGUCCCACCGUCGGUA